GACGAACGCUGGCGGCAGGCUUAACACAUGCAAGUCGAACGGGUGUAGCAAUACAUCAGUGGCAGACGGGUGAGUAACACGUGGGAACCUUCCUAGGGGUACGGAACAACUCAGGGAAACUUGAGCUAAUACCGUAUACGUCCGUAAGGAGAAAGAUUCAUCGCCCCUAGACGGGCCCGCGUCGGAUUAGGUAGUUGGUGGGGUAACGGCCUACCAAGCCUACGAUCCGUAGCUGAUCUGAGAGGANGAUCAGCCACACUGGGACUGAGACACGGCCCAGACUCCUACGGGAGGCAGCAGUGGGGAAUCUUGGACAAUGGGCGCAAGCCUGAUCCAGCCAUGCCGCGUGAGUGAAGAAGGCCUUAGGGUUGUAAAGCUCUUUUACCAGGGACGAUAAUGACGGUACCUGGAGAAUAAGCCCCGGCAAACUUCGCGCCA
This 438-nucleotide ribosomal RNA is filed under the name uncultured bacterium. RNAcentral describes it as "bacterial SSU rRNA". It matches the Rfam family "Bacterial small subunit ribosomal RNA", at positions 28 to 510 of the family's 1533-position model. The record is from RNAcentral.